ACGGGGGGCCUACGGGAGGCAGCAGUAGGGAAUCUUCCGCAAUGGACGAAAGUCUGACGGAGCAACGCCGCGUGAGUGAUGAAGGUUUUCGGAUCGUAAAACUCUGUUGUCAGGGAAGAACAAGUUUGAGAGUAACUGCUCAGACCUUGACGGUACCUGACCAGAAAGCCACGGCUAACUACGUGCCAGCAGCCGCGGUAAU
This 202-nucleotide ribosomal RNA is filed under the name uncultured bacterium. RNAcentral describes it as "partial 16S ribosomal RNA". It matches the Rfam family "Bacterial small subunit ribosomal RNA", at positions 330 to 524 of the family's 1533-position model. The record is from RNAcentral.